UCCACUUAGAUUUUCGUAAAGGGUGGCAAGUGUUUGGUAGUAGUCUUCUUUACACCGUUGCUGGUUUUUAGAUGAAGGCAAUACAGUGCAGGACCACAAGAGCUGCAAUGAAACACGUUUACCUUGAGUUCUCAGGGACUGCCUCUCCCCAUAUGAACUGACCCAGACCCUGCAAUCAUCAUCUGAGGCCCUUAUUUCUGUGCCACCUCCACAAGAGCUCCAGAGGGCAGCAACACAAGAACAGGCCUUUUCUGCGGUGACUCCACAUUUGUGGAAUGCACUCCCUAGGGAGGCUCACUUGGCACCUUGGUUACAUAUCUUUAGGAGCCAAGUGAAAACUUUCCACUUUCCCAGGCCUUUGGCUAAUUGAGCAAUGUUUGGCCUUUUAAACUCUGGCGGGUAUUGUUUUUGUUACGUAUUUUUGUGUUUUUACAUUGUAAACUGCCCUGUGAUCCUUGGAUGAAAGGCAGUAUAGAGAUUAAAUAAAUACAUAGUUACUUCUUUGCUAUGAUCUGGAACCAGUUUUAAAUAUCAGGGACCAGUGCUGGAACAAAUCAUGUGCUGGUAACAGUGAAAGAGGACUCUGUAGCAUAUGCAAAGUUUGUAUAUCACUUUGUGCACCUCAGAAGACUCAGAGGAUGUCUUUAGCACUUUUUCUGUCUCUCUCUUUUU
This is a non-coding RNA of Podarcis muralis (Common wall lizard), 672 nucleotides long. Lineage: Eukaryota; Metazoa; Chordata; Lepidosauria; Squamata; Lacertidae. The record is from RefSeq and is a predicted model, not a curated record.